GAGAGAGUGAAGUAAGCUUCUUUAUGCUAAAUGUUUACUUGUUUAGUUAUAUGUCUCAUUUGAAAAUAUUAAUUUGAUUUUUUGAAACAUUAUAAUUCGCUUCCAUUUCUUUUCCAUAUCUAUAUUCAAUUGCCUUUAACAAAAGUGCAUGGGUGUAUAAUUAUAUUAGAUUUCUUGUUUUUCAUAGCUUCUGAAUCUCAACUAACCACAAUUUAUAAAUUUUAACGUUUUCUAUCCUGAAGCUUUAACUUCCAUAAGCACUUUGGAAAUUCUAACUUGUAAUAAAGUGAUUUGGGGCGCUAAAAAAAUCUUUUACAUAUAACUUUAGAUAGAUCUUGAUUUCCUAAAACUAGAAGGACUGAUGAAUAAGCAACGAAUCAAGAGUGUUAUUGUUCCUCAAUACUAAAUUUGCUCCUCAAGCAUAGCUCAAGGCGCACUAAGGUGCCAAAGAGUCCUGUAGCCUAGGCGCAAGGCACAAAGCGCAGGCGAGUGCCUGAGCGAGAUGAGGUGCAAAA
Molecule: unclassified non-coding RNA, 515 nt
Filed under: Hevea brasiliensis (rubber tree)
Lineage: Eukaryota; Viridiplantae; Streptophyta; Magnoliopsida; Malpighiales; Euphorbiaceae
Source: RNAcentral